Molecule: ribosomal RNA, 418 nt
Filed under: uncultured beta proteobacterium
Lineage: Bacteria; Pseudomonadati; Pseudomonadota; Betaproteobacteria
Also listed under: 1 other name
Description: bacterial SSU rRNA
Rfam family: Bacterial small subunit ribosomal RNA
Source: RNAcentral
GAGUUUGAUCCUGGCUCAGAUUGAACGCUGGCGGCAUGCCUUACACAUGCAAGUCGAACGGCAGCACGGGGGCAACCCUGGUGGCGAGUGGCGAACGGGUGAGUAAUGCAUCGGAACGUGCCCAGUUGUGGGGGAUAACCCGGCGAAAGCCGGGCUAAUACCGCAUACGACCUACGGGUGAAAGCGGGGGAUCGCAAGACCUCGCGCGAUUGGAGCGGCCGAUGUCUGAUUAGCUAGUUGGCGGGGUAAGAGCCCACCAAGGCGACGAUCAGUAGCUGGUCUGAGAGGACGACCAGCCACACUGGGACUGAGACACGGCCCAGACUCCUACGGGAGGCAGCAGUGGGGAAUUUUGGACAAUGGGCGAAAGCCUGAUCCAGCCAUGCCGCGUGCGGGAAGAAGGCCUCGGUUGUAACCG